GCAAACUUGGUCAUUUAGAGGAAGUAAAAGUCGUAACAAGGUCUCCGUUGGUGAACCAGCGGAGGGAUCAUUAUAGAGUUUUAUAACUCCCAAACCCAUGUGAACUUACCAUUGUUGCCUCGGCGGAGCCUACCCUGUAGCUACCCUGUAGGGUGGUUACCCUGUAGCGCCCCGCCGGUGGAUUUUCAAACUCUUGUUAUUAUAUUGCAUCUGAGCGUCUUAUUUUAAUAAGUCAAAACUUUCAACAACGGAUCUCUUGGUUCUGGCAUCGAUGAAGAACGCAGC
Molecule: unclassified non-coding RNA, 285 nt
Filed under: uncultured fungus
Lineage: Eukaryota; Fungi
Description: partial contains small subunit ribosomal RNA, internal transcribed spacer 1, and 5.8S ribosomal RNA
Rfam family: Eukaryotic small subunit ribosomal RNA (bases 1-73)
Source: RNAcentral